Long non-coding RNA from Numida meleagris (helmeted guineafowl), 2018 nucleotides. RefSeq lists it as uncharacterized. The transcript is spliced from 4 exons. The record is from RefSeq and is a predicted model, not a curated record. NCBI's taxonomy places the organism in Eukaryota, Metazoa, Chordata, Aves, Galliformes, Numididae.
GGGGGUGCACGCCUUCUCUUCGCCUCGUGCCGCCGCCCGCGCGCAGCGACGGUUGCGCUCUUCACAGGGCCCUCCCGCCCCCGGGAUCGGAGCUAAGGCCGCCCCGACCCGCAGGCGGCAUCGGGGUGCAACGGCCGCGGACCUCGCGUGGGGCCCAGGCCGAGGGGCUGCACGUCGGGCGGACCCGCUGCCUUCCUGCCCCGUGUGUGCGGUGCUGCGGGCUGUAGCAAAGCUCUCUGCUGGGCACAGUGGGAGAGAGUCUCGGAAAACGGGAAAAAAGGGGAUUCCCAGUAUUGGUUUCCACAAUUAAGAACAAACUCAUCGGCUCCUAUGAAAUGAUAUCUUCUGAGAGCUGAAGCAGAGGCAGAAACACUAGAUGCUACAAAGCCUUUUCCAGGUGCUAAGCAGUCCACACUCAGUGCGUACAUCUUGGGGUCUUGAAAAAUUAGAGGGCUGGACAACUACCAACCAUAUGAAGUUUAACAAGAAAAGAAGAAACACUGGCAUUCAAUAAAUGGUUCAGUUAAUAAAACUUCAGGAGUUUCAUCUAGGAAUGAAAAGAAUAAAAGAACAGCGUGUGACAAAUGCACCUGAUAUUGCACUGGAUAGUGAUUAGGCCACCCAGAGACGAAGUCUUUGUGAGAGACUGUGUAGGAGAUGCCAUAAUUAUUCAAGAGCAUCCCACAUCUUAUUUUAUUCCUCCCUGUUGUUCUUAGACCAAAACUGAGAAGGAAGAAGCCAUAGUGGCUCUCGUACCUUUAGAUAUAUUGGUUCUUAGAUAACAAUAGCGCCACUAUAGCAGCUGUGAAGCAGUGGGUCACCUCUACUAGUGCAGAUUUUUUCGAGUGCAGCAUGGAGGCUCUUGUGCAUCACUGGUGAAAAUACAUAUCUAAUGGUGUUGACUAUGUUGAAAAAUCUUGUAGCAGAGAAUUUGCUUUAUCAUAUAAUAGUGUUAUUGUGCUCUUUGUUUCUGUUGUAGUUCUACAUCUAUGUUCAUUACUUUUUCACUUUGAUCCAUCUUCCUCUUCUUUCUCUGAAUAUCUCAGCUGAAACUCUCAUGGUAUGUUUCUAGCCCUAACAGGAAAGUGCAAUUCUAACCGAAUGAAACAGUUUCUGUCGCUAACAGAAGAUAAUCCUGCAAGACCUGCAAUCUGAUCCCCUCUACUGAAGGAGCAUUUCGUAACAGUGGCACAAGAAGUGAACGUCACAUUUUUAAAGAUCUGUCUUAAAACUUGCCUUUUCAGGCAGGAUACGGAAGAUACCUAAGAAUUCUUACAUGACUAAAAGCUGUCCAUCUGAAUGGGUAAUUAAUUCACAUAAGUCUAUGUUGUGAGAUACAUACAAGUACUACAGACCAAAUUAUUUGUAACAUUCUGUUAAGUACUAAAAUUAAUGUUUUAUGUAUUUGUCAUUUCAACAAUGAAGUUAUGGAUUGUUUGUAUUAUAAUUUUAUCUUGUUAAUGUAAAAGAAGGAAUUUUGCUUUCCUUGGCCUCUUGGGAAGCAAAAAACCAGUGUUUCUAAUUAUCUGAACACCCAGGAACAUAAAAGAAUAGCAAGUGGUGAAAUUAUAAAUCUGUUGGAACAAGUCCAUGUUUUCUGAUUAAACUCUAUUUCUGGUGGCUCUCAGCAAUCAUGUUCCUCUUAUGUUCAUAGUAAUUGCAUGUGUCAAAGCUGAGGCCUUGUGUAAACUGUACCAAAUGAGUUACAAUUUUAAUUUAGAAGGAGAUAACUGUAUUUGCCCCUGCAGGCAGAUUGCAUCAGGUUAGAAGUAUAAAAACGAAUAAGAAAGGGAGCAGGGAGGAAGCUGGAGGACCUCCAGGUUAAUAAUAAGGAGAAAAUCUAAUAAGGUUUACAUUACAACAGUUGAAUUUUAGGGAAACAAAAAAAGAAAAAAAUGCAAUUUGCAAACAUGAAGCCAAACUCUGAUACUUGCAUCUGACCCAAGUGUACAAGUACACACUACUAAAUGUAAGAGGGUAUGUCUGACUCUGGAACAGACCUGUCUCUGAUUUUUGUA